RNAcentral lists this ribosomal RNA (1030 nucleotides) under gamma proteobacterium enrichment culture clone NA-TCI-1. RNAcentral's name for it is "partial 16S ribosomal RNA". It matches the Rfam family "Bacterial small subunit ribosomal RNA", at positions 54 to 1077 of the family's 1533-position model. The record is from RNAcentral. Lineage: Bacteria; Pseudomonadati; Pseudomonadota; Gammaproteobacteria.
CAUGCAGUCGAACGGCAGCACAGAAGAGCUUGCUCUUUGGGUGGCGAGUGGCGGACGGGUGAGUAACACGUAGGAAUCUACCCAGUAGUGGGGGAUAACCUGGGGAAACCCAGGCUAAUACCGCAUACGCCCUGAGGGGGAAAGCGGGGGAUCUUCGGACCUCGCGCUAUUGGAUGAGCCUGCGUCGGAUUAGCUAGUUGGUGGGGUAAGGGCCCACCAAGGCGACGAUCCGUAGCUGGUCUGAGAGGAUGACCAGUCACACCGGAACUGAGACACGGUCCGGACUCCUACGGGAGGCAGCAGUGGGGAAUAUUGGACAAUGGGCGCAAGCCUGAUCCAGCCAUGCCGCGUGGGUGAAGAAGGCCUUCGGGUUGUAAAGCCCUUUAGGUGGGGAGGAAGGCAUUCAUGCUAAUACCAUGGAUGAUUGACGUUACCCACAGAAUAAGCACCGGCUAACUCCGUGCCAGCAGCCGCGGUAAUACGGAGGGUGCAAGCGUUAAUCGGAAUUACUGGGCGUAAAGCGCACGUAGGCGGUUUGACAAGUGGGAUGUGAAAGCCCUGGGCUCAACCUGGGAACUGCAUCCCAAACUGUCAGGCUAGAGUAUGGUAGAGGGGGGCGGAAUUCCCGGUGUAGCGGUGAAAUGCGUAGAGAUCGGGAGGAACAUCAGUGGCGAAGGCGGCCCCCUGGACUGAUACUGACGCUGAGGUGCGAAAGCGUGGGGAUCAAACAGGAUUAGAUACCCUGGUAGUCCACGCUGUAAACGAUGAGAACUGNNGUCGGGGCCCUUCGGGGUUUGGUGGCGUAGCUAACGCGCUAAGUUCUCCGCCUGGGGAGUACNGGCCGCNAAGGCUAAAACUCAAAUGAAUUGACGGGGNCNGCACAAGCGGNGGAGCAUGUGGUUUAAUUCGAUGCAACGCGAAGACCUUACCUGCCCNNGACAUCCUCGGAACUUGUCANAGAUGACUUGGNGCNUCGGGANCGANANACNGNNGCUGCAUGGNUGUCGUCAGCUCGNGNCNUGANAUGUGG